AGUAUGCAAUGCAGUCACACUUGUGCAGUCCUCCUGAAUCCUGUGAUUUGCACAGACCACAUUACAAAAAGAGUGAUGUGUGAAAGUGGAAAAGAACGACUGACAACACCUUAGUUGCACACAGGGAUGCAUAAUGAUGCACAUCAUGCUACUACAUAGCUACAUGUACCCUAAGGAAGGUGUCAGAAAGGCAUUUGAACAGUAGUGCCUUUUAUUCUGGAAAACAGCAAUAAUGGCAUGUGGUCAAGAUACAGAUGCGGGAAUUUCUACACCCGUCAGAACACCGAUGCCGGAAUCCCGAACAGGUCAGGACCCCGACAAUGGAAUCCCUACAGUCGGAAUCCAGAAGCUGCUCUUCUGCAUCUCUCAAAAUCAUCCUCCUUAUCAGAUAGUCACUGCGCAUGCACUGGCCUAUGCAGUGCAUGUUGCAGAAGAUCCGGAGCUCCAUGGACAGC
This is a long non-coding RNA of Pseudophryne corroboree (corroboree frog), 455 nucleotides long. RefSeq lists it as uncharacterized. The record is from RefSeq and is a predicted model, not a curated record. Lineage: Eukaryota; Metazoa; Chordata; Amphibia; Anura; Myobatrachidae. The transcript has 3 exons.